Acipenser ruthenus (sterlet) is the source of this 206-nucleotide long non-coding RNA. RefSeq lists it as uncharacterized. Lineage: Eukaryota; Metazoa; Chordata; Actinopteri; Acipenseriformes; Acipenseridae. The transcript has 3 exons. The record is from RefSeq and is a predicted model, not a curated record.
CAAUGUCAACUCCUGUGGCACAACUAGAAGGUUUGACAACAACCUCCUGACUUACGAGAAUGAAGUGCUGUUCACAUCUUACCGGUUGAGAGUUGCCUGUCACUAUCUGGUCAAUGACACCAGGGUAGUACAGUUCUUGUACCAGAAUAAUCCUGCACCUGUAGUCCAGCCUGGCUUGGGGGACCUUGCAGUCAUCAUGCGGCUUG